GAUGAACGCUAGCUACAGGCUUAACACAUGCAAGUCGAGGGGAAACGGCAUUUAGUGCUUGCACUGAAUGGACGUCGACCGGCGCACGGGUGAGUAACGCGUAUCCAACCUUCCCAUUACUGUGGGAUAACCUGCCGAAAGGCAGACUAAUACCUCAUAGUCUUCGAUGACGGCAUCAGAUUUGAAGUAAAGAUUUAUCGGUAAUGGAUGGGGAUGCGUCUGAUUAGCUUGUUGGCGGGGUAACGGCCCACCAAGGCUACGAUCAGUAGGGGUUCUGAGAGGAAGGUCCCCCACAUUGGAACUGAGACACGGUCCAAACUCCUACGGGAGGCAGCAGUGAGGAAUAUUGGUCAAUGGACGUAAGUCUGAACCAGCCAAGUAGCGUGCAGGAUGACGGCCCUAUGGGUUGUAAACUGCUUUUGUAUGGGAAUAAAGUCAAUCACGUGUGAUUGUUUGCAGGUACCAUACGAAUAAGGACCGGCUAAUUCCGUGCCAGCAGCCGCGGUAAUACGGAAGGUUCGGGCGUUAUCCGGAUUUAUUGGGUUUAAAGGGAGCGUAGGCCGGAGAUUAAGUGUGUUGUGAAAUGUAGACGCUCAACGUCUGACUUGCAGCGCGUACUGGUUUCCUUGAGUACGCACAACGUUGGCGGAAUUCGUCGUGUAGCGGUGAAAUGCUUAGAUAUGACGAAGAACUCCGAUUGCGAAGGCAGCUGACGGGAGCGCAACUGACGCUGAAAGCUCGAAGGUGCGGGUAUCGAACAGG
RNAcentral lists this ribosomal RNA (762 nucleotides) under Prevotella melaninogenica. Its description in RNAcentral is "bacterial SSU rRNA". It matches the Rfam family "Bacterial small subunit ribosomal RNA", at positions 28 to 776 of the family's 1533-position model. Lineage: Bacteria; Pseudomonadati; Bacteroidota; Bacteroidia; Bacteroidales; Prevotellaceae. The record is from RNAcentral.